CCUACGGGAGGCAGCAGUGGGGAAUAUUGGACAAUGGGCGAAAGCCUGAUCCAGCAAUGCCGCGUGAGUGAUGAAGGCCUUAGGGUCGUAAAGCUCUUUUACCCGGGAUGAUAAUGACAGUACCGGGAGAAUAAGCCCCGGCUAACUCCGUGCCAGCAGCCGCGGUAAUACGGAGGGGGCUAGCGUUGUUCGGAAUUACUGGGCGUAAAGCGUGCGUAGGCGGUUAUUCAAGUCAGAGGUGAAAGCCCGGGGCUCAACCCCGGAACGGCCUUUGAAACUAGGUAGCUAGAAUCUUGGAGAGGUCAGUGGAAUUCCGAGUGUAGAGGUGAAAUUCGUAGAUAUUCGGAAGAACACCAGUGGCGAAGGCGACUGACUGGACAAGUAUUGACGCUGAGGCACGAAAGCGUGGGGAGCAAACAGGAUUAGAUACCCUGGUAGUCCACGCCGUAAACGAUGAUAACUAGCUGUUCGGGUACUUGGUAUCUGAGUGGCGCAGCUAACGCAUUAAGUUAUCCGCCUGGGGAGUACGGUGCAAGAUUAAAACUANAAGAAAUUGACGG
RNAcentral lists this ribosomal RNA (560 nucleotides) under uncultured bacterium. RNAcentral's name for it is "bacterial SSU rRNA". It matches the Rfam family "Bacterial small subunit ribosomal RNA", at positions 338 to 916 of the family's 1533-position model. The record is from RNAcentral.